GUGCCAGCCGCCGCGGUAAUACAGAGGGUGCGAGCGUUGUCCGGAAUCACUGGGCGUAAAGGGCGCGUAGGUGGCUCGUUAAGCGUGUGGUGAAAGCCUGGGGCUCAACCCCAGGUCUGCCAUGCGAACUGGCGAGCUGGAGCAUAGUAGAGGCGGGUGGAAUUCCGGGUGUAGCGGUGGAAUGCGUAGAUAUCCGGAAGAACACCGGUGGCGAAGGCGGCCCGCUGGGCUAUUGCUGACACUGAAGCGCGACAGCGUGGGGAGCAAACAGGAUUAGAUACCCGUGUAGUCC
RNAcentral lists this ribosomal RNA (292 nucleotides) under uncultured bacterium. RNAcentral's name for it is "partial 16S ribosomal RNA". It matches the Rfam family "Bacterial small subunit ribosomal RNA", at positions 505 to 796 of the family's 1533-position model. The record is from RNAcentral.